CUCUCUCCCCCCUUCUCUGUAAACAGCAGCGAUCAACAAUCCUUUAACCAUUUCCGUGCCUUUCGUGACAAAUUGGAUUACUGAUAUAAUCCAAUUGUAGUGUUAUAUGUGUUUCUAUAUAUGUAAAUCUAUAUAUAUAUGUGGGUGUGUGUGUGUGUGAUUGAUUGUUUGCGUGUAUACAGACUCACAGACACACUACAAGACUGAUGGUGGUUGAUUUAUCGUGCCAUUUGAGUGUUGAAGUUUCUUAUCACAUCCGCUCAUUUUCCAUGAAAUCUUUUCUGGCAACCUCUCCUAAUAUUUCUGAGAAAUUAAUGGUUAUGUGAAGGCUUGGGAUGAAAAGAAGGUCGAGUUGGGAACUCCAUCACAAAAAUGUUUCCUUCCCUUUCUCAUCGGCAUGCCAAACUGGUAAAUUUUGAUUCGACUUAUUCCCCAUUAAAUAUUUAAUCUUAUUUAUAUUGUAUCUUUUUUGGAGGCUCGAGAAGGGAUUCAUCAGCUCCAAAUAUUCAAAUUUGGGCCAGCAGUUAGCAAAUUGUUUAUAGCCUUCUCACCAUGGCUUUAGUUUGGUGAGGUGGAUAUUGAGGGUUCAUUGGUUGCUAGUAUUAUUUUAAACAAGAUAGAUUUGGUGACUGAGGCUGACUUGGAGGUGUUCACAAAGCGAAUUCAGCUUUUGGAUUUUUGGUGCACUUUUGUCAGCAUAUCAAUGGGAUGACACAGUUAAAGCUGGCUAAAUAUGGCGUUGUCGACAUGGACUUUGUUUUGGGAGUGGGCGGCUAUGAUCUAGAUAGAAUUGAUUUAGAGGUUCAGUUGGAUAGUUCUCAUUGUGAAUCCCAUCAGUGUUGUUAAAGGCGCGCCUAGGCUCGAGGCUCAGGUUUAGCGCUUGUUGCCACCCCAGGCUCACUGAUGUUGGAAAUGAGAAGGACCGGAUCGAGGUGAAGAUGAGAAACGGUGUACAGAAGAUGGUCAUUUCCAAAUGGAAAGGCAUCACCACCAUCAAAAUCAACAACUGAGCUUCCAUCGCUGUCCUUCCGAGCUCAUCUAUGUUCAUCCUGUUUGCUUAAUUCUUUUUUAGGGUUUGUUCAUUGAUCGAUUGAUCUCUUUUGAUUUCACUAUGUUCUGGUUUUUGAAGCUUUGAAAAAUGUUGAUGCUCUAUGUAGUUGAUGGAUCUUUUGUUUGAGGGUUCCCAAAUCCCAACUGAAAAAUGUUGAUGCUUUGUGUGUGCACCACAAA
Molecule: long non-coding RNA, 1230 nt
Organism: Cornus florida
Lineage: Eukaryota; Viridiplantae; Streptophyta; Magnoliopsida; Cornales; Cornaceae
Exons: 6
Source: RefSeq, a predicted model, not a curated record